Molecule: long non-coding RNA, 420 nt
Filed under: Solanum tuberosum (potato)
Lineage: Eukaryota; Viridiplantae; Streptophyta; Magnoliopsida; Solanales; Solanaceae
Description: long non-coding RNA (STUB_LNC008771)
Source: RNAcentral
CUUCUUUCUUUUUGGAUGAAAGCUCCAUUUAAAAAAUUAAAUUCAGACAAAGAAAGUGAAGCCAAAUAGGCAAUGAAUAUCAAAUCACUCAACAUGCCAUAGCUCAUAAAUACAUUUUUUACUUUUAUUGGGUUAUGACGGUUAAUAUCAAAAUUCAAUACUUAAUUAGCUUUAUACACAAAUAAAUCACAUGAAUCUGCAUAUGAAAAUUCAAUAAAUUUGACCUACUAUUGUCAAAAUAAAACAAACAAAAAAAACAAAGAAUAUUGUGCUAACAAAAAAAUUAUGUUAGAAGGAAAUGUCAGUUACCCCAUUAGUAUUGGCACAACUCAAAGUACAGUUCUAUGCGAUUGAGACAGAAGCAUCUCAUCAAUUGAUUUUCCCUGCAACAAAAAAAAUCAUCUCAUAAGCUAUUGACAC